AGAUGGCGACCGGCGCACGGGUGAGUAACACGUAUCCGACCUGCCGAUAACUCGGGGGUAGCCUUUCGAAAGAAAGAUUAAUACCCGAUGGCAUAAUUAGACCGCAUGGUCUUAUUAUUAAAGAAUUUCGGUUAUCGAUGGGGAUGCGUUCCAUUAGGCAGUUGGUGAGGUAACGGCUCACCAAACCUUCGAUGGAUAGGGGUUCUGAGAGGAAGGUCCCCCACAUUGGAACUGAGACACGGUCCAA
Molecule: ribosomal RNA, 247 nt
Filed under: uncultured bacterium
Lineage: Bacteria
Description: partial 16S ribosomal RNA
Rfam family: Bacterial small subunit ribosomal RNA
Source: RNAcentral